Molecule: unclassified non-coding RNA, 257 nt
Filed under: plant metagenome
Description: partial contains small subunit ribosomal RNA, internal transcribed spacer 1, and 5.8S ribosomal RNA
Rfam family: Eukaryotic small subunit ribosomal RNA (bases 1-53)
Source: RNAcentral
GGAAGUAAAAGUGUAACAAGGUUUCCGUAGGUGAACCUGCGGAAGGAUCAUUACUGAGUGAGGGCCCCUCGGGGUCCAACCUCCCACCCGUGUUUAACGAACCUUGUUGCUUCGGCGGGCCCGCCUCACGGCCGCCGGGGGGCAUUUGCCCCCGGGCCCGCGCCCGCCGAAGCCACCUGUGAACGCUGUCUGAAGUAUGCAGUCUGAGACAAUUAUUAAAUUAAUUAAAACUUUCAACAACGGAUCUCUUGGUUCCG